Molecule: long non-coding RNA, 588 nt
Filed under: Pan paniscus (pygmy chimpanzee)
Lineage: Eukaryota; Metazoa; Chordata; Mammalia; Primates; Hominidae
Description: lncRNA (ENSPPAG00000045167.1)
Source: RNAcentral
UUUGUAUGGGAGCUCUGUCUUCACUCUAUUAAAUCUUGCAGCUGCACUCUCUUUUGGUCCACAUUUGUCAUGGUUCGAGCUGAGCUUUCUCUCGCCGCCGUCCACCACUGCUGUUUGCCGCUGUCGCAGACCUGCUGCUGACUUCCAUCCGUCCAGAUCCGGCAAGGUGUCUGCUGUGCUCCUGAUCCAGCGAGGCGCCCAUUACAGCUCCCAGUCGGGCUAAAGGCUUGCCACUGUUCCUGCACGGCUAAGUGUCCAGGUUCAUCCUAAUCAAGCUGAACACUAGUCACUGGGUUCCACGGUUCUCUUCCAUGACCCAUGGCUUCUAAUAGAGCUAUAACACUCACUGCAUGGCCCAAGAUUCCAUUCCUUGGAAUCCGUGAGGCCAAGAACCCCAGGUCAGAGAACACGAGGCUUGCCACCAUCUUGGAAGCAGCCUGCCGCCAUUUUGGAAGUGGCCCACCACCAUCUUGGGAGCUCUGGGAGCAAGGACCACCUGGUAACAAUAGGCCAAAUACUGUGCUGAUAAGCUUGAAAGCCUGCCCUGAAUCCUCAUCUAUUGAUGGAGAUGGUGUCAUCUUCCCUUGA